RNAcentral lists this long non-coding RNA (221 nucleotides) under Elaeis guineensis (African oil palm). Its description in RNAcentral is "long non-coding RNA (EGUI_LNC012557)". Lineage: Eukaryota; Viridiplantae; Streptophyta; Magnoliopsida; Arecales; Arecaceae. The record is from RNAcentral.
UCCGUCUCACCCCCACGCCUUGGGGUAUGCCUGCUGUCUCAUGGAUGGGCAAACGUGGGAGUUGAGCCAGACCACUAGAUUCUACCUCCAUCAUGGGCUGUAUCCACUCUGACCAAAGACCUGCUCAGGGUAUCAUCUUAUAGCAAUAAAAAUCUCACCCUGCGAUGUCGCCUCUCGUCCUUCCGAGUCUCCCGUCUAGUGCCCGAUCCACCUCCACCUGA